Molecule: non-coding RNA, 984 nt
Organism: Misgurnus anguillicaudatus (oriental weatherfish)
Lineage: Eukaryota; Metazoa; Chordata; Actinopteri; Cypriniformes; Cobitidae
Source: RefSeq, a predicted model, not a curated record
CGCAAUGACCCGUCUGCCUACUUAAAUGCCCCAGAACCCUCUUCUGCCUCUCAUCCAAAACCCUUGUUUCUCUUAUCAAUAUCUUAUCAUGUUCAGCAUUGAGUAAUGGAGUGUGUUUGCACAGAGUUAAUAAACAAUGUCUGCAAAAGUCCAGAAUAUGUCAGAGAUCUGCAGGCAAAUACAAACUCAAAUAACCCAAUAACUAUAAACAAUUACAUUCUAUCAUUUUUAUUAUCAUCUAAAAAUUUGUAGUAGCUACAUCAUUGUUGUCACGUGCAUAGUCUAUGUUUCACAGAUCCAUACUUGUGUUGGCAAAACACUUGUGUUGUGAAAACACCGACUUAUCUCACCUAAACCAGCUAUAUUUAUUUACAAUAAAUGGUGCAUUUGGCAGAUGCCAUCAUCCAAAGUAACGUACAGCGCGUUCAAUCUAUACUUUUCAAUCAGUGGGUUCCGUCGGGAUCGAACCCAUAACCCUUGCGUAGUUAACGCAAUGAUCUACCGAUUGAGAGCAAAUAGGGCACACAGAAACAGUUAAACCCUCGCAACAGUUUCAGGAAGAUUGUGUUUCAAAAAAAGUAAGGCGCAUUCUGAGUCACUUCACAAGGUUUAGACACGCGCCCAAGUUUGACAUAACGCGCGUGAAGAUUUUCUAGAACUAGAAGUUUCUUUUCGAAAAUGUACCUUGGUAAAGUAAAGGAAAUGAACAGAAACUACAGUUACUGAAUAAGCAUAAAGGAAAAAAAUUCUCUUCCGGAGAUGCUGAUUCAGAAACAGAUUUUUUUUUGCAAGACUUACAACAAGAGCUGCUAGAUGAUCCCAAGUCAGUCAUCAGAAUUUCCAGGCCAUCAACUGAAGGAAAAAGAAGAUGUUUUGAGGUUUCGGUAUCCAUGAACAGUCUGGUUGAAGACUUUCUCCUGUCAGAAUAAUAGACUGCGCUCUUGAACCGUCUGUCCCUGAAAGAGGUAACACAUACACUCUUUA